CCUUCAUUUCCACCCCCCCCCCCCCUCUCUCUCUUCCGUCGUCGCCGUCGCCGGCUAGGAGGUGGGGAACUGAGGAUGAUGAUGACGCGAGCCCCGAUGGGGUCGAUGGAGGGCGCGGCAGUGGACGAGGUGGUGCGGCGGCUGGUGGAGGGUGGCCGCGGCGGGCGGCAGGUGCAGCUGUCGGAGGCGGAGAUCCGGCAGCUGUGCGUCGAGGGAAAGCGGGUGCUUCUCUCCCAGCCAAACCUCCUCCGAAUCCACGCCCCCGUCAAGAUCUGUGGUGAUAUCCAUGGCCAGUUUGUUGACCUUCUGAGAUUGUUUGAUUUGGGUGGUUAUCCUCCAGCGUCAACUUACGUAUUCCUUGGAGACUAUGUUGAUAGAGGCAAACAGAGUUUGGAAACUAUAUGCUUGCUCCUGGCAUACAAAAUCAGGUACCCUGAAAAGAUUUUCCUGUUAAGGGGGAACCAUGAAGAUGCAAAAAUCAACAGAGUUUAUGGUUUCUAUGAUGAAUGUAAGAGGAGGUUCAAUGUUCGACUGUGGAAGAUAUUCUCUGAUUGCUUCAACUGCCUGCCGAUUGCAGCACUCAUUGAUGACAAGAUACUGUGCAUGCAUGGUGGUCUCUCACCUGAAUUGAAUAGUUUGGACCAAAUAAAGGAUAUUGAGAGGCCUGCUGAGAUUCCUGAUUAUGGCCUGCUGUGUGAUUUGCUUUGGUCUGAUCCUAGCCCCGAUGGAGAAGGGUGGGGGGAGAGUGACAGAGGUGUUUCAUGUACGUUCGGCGCAGAUAAGCUUGUAGAGUUUUUGGAGAAGAAUGAUCUCGAUCUUAUAUGCCGAGCUCAUCAGGUGGUUGAAGAUGGUUACGAGUUCUUUGCGCAACGGAGAUUAGUGACAAUCUUCUCAGCUCCAAAUUAUUGUGGAGAAUUUGAUAAUGUUGGUGCUCUAUUGAGCAUAGAUGAAAGCCUAAUGUGCUCAUUUCAGAUCCUGAAGCCAAGCGACACAGGUCCACCGCAUGCAAGAAAACAAAUUCCAAAUAAGCCAUCAAGAGGGUGAAACGUUCGAUCAGCGUCUAAUUCUUUCAGUAUCAUUAUCAUCAAUCAGCUCAAAGGGGCAAGGGGGUGAUCUAUUGUUUGGAAUUUGAUCCACCAGGGCAUGGCAUUGUGCAUUCAAUUUCAAUCCCCUUGCUUACUUAACAAGCCGUUCUUAGCGUUAAGCCGUGCACCUUCUCAUGUACAGCAUUAAGUCGGAUUCAGCACCAUCUGUUCUGAUUGUUCUUUCUUUUGCUGCUGGCACAGGGACUUGAUUGGCAGCAUGACUUCCACUUUUGAUUUUUGCUAGUCUGUGACGAGAGCUGCUCGUAUUAACAUAGAAAGAUAGUUCGAGUACAACACGCCCCAUUUUGGUUUACAUUACGCGCCACAUACAAAUUAAGAACGACCUCAUAGGCUACUUUUGAGACUAUGAUCGACCCACAGCAAGCUGUGACAACCCUUUGGUGUUCGUUCGGUUGAAGCAGGACCUUGGACACCAAAUCCGAACGUCCAGGUACUCCGAAAAGAUGGUGCACCACGGAGAUCCUGAAUCCAUCGGCGUCCCAACAGGGCCUCUUGGAUUGUGCCGCUGUGUAAUAUGUAGUAGUUGGAGGAAAGGUCUGAACAAAUGACUUGGUUACUUUAUGCCAUUCUUUCUACCUCCCUUUCAUUUGUCUCUAGUGUGGAAGCGAUGAUUUUUAUCUCAUGUAAGGGAAUAGUGGUUACCAUGUUCA
Phragmites australis (common reed) is the source of this 1756-nucleotide RNA transcript. It is a transcript of the gene named serine/threonine-protein phosphatase PP1-like, with no coding region annotated. The record is from RefSeq and is a predicted model, not a curated record. The transcript is spliced from 5 exons. Lineage: Eukaryota; Viridiplantae; Streptophyta; Magnoliopsida; Poales; Poaceae.